AUUGAACGCUGGCGGCAGGCCUAACACAUGCAAGUCGAGCGGAUGAAGGGAGCUUGCUCCUGGAUUCAGCGGCGGACGGGUGAGUAAUGCCUAGGAAUCUGCCUGGUAGUGGGGGAUAACGUCCGGAAACGGGCGCUAAUACCGCAUACGUCCUGAGGGAGAAAGUGGGGGAUCUUCGGACCUCACGCUAUCAGAUGAACCUAGGUCGGAUUAGCUAGUUGGUGGGGUAAAGGCCUACCAAGGCGACGAUCCGUAACUGGUCUGAGAGGAUGGUCGGUCACACGAGAGCUUGGACACGGUCCAGACUCCUACGGUAGGGAGCAGUCGGGAAUAUUGGACAGUGGGCGAGAGCCUGAUACAGCCAUGCCGCGUGUGUGAAGAAGGUCUUCGGAUUGUAAAGCACUUUAAGUUGGGGGGAAGGGCAGUAAGUUAAUACCUUGCUGGUUUGACGUUACCAACAGAAUAAGCACCGGCUAACUUCGUG
Molecule: ribosomal RNA, 484 nt
Filed under: uncultured bacterium
Lineage: Bacteria
Description: partial 16S ribosomal RNA
Rfam family: Bacterial small subunit ribosomal RNA
Source: RNAcentral